ACGUAAGGGACGAGCGUUGUCCGGAUUUACUGGGCGUAAAGGGCGCGUAGGCGGUCAUUUAAGUCAGUUGUGAAAUGGUUUGGCUUAACCGGUUGAUGGGGUGGAAACUGGAUGACUGGAGUGCUGGAGAGGCAAGUGGAAUUCCCAGUGUAGGGGUGAAAUGCUUAGAUAUUUGGAAGAACACCGGUGGCGAAGGCGUCUUGCUGGCCAGCAACUGACGCUGAGGCUCGAAAGCCAGGGGAGCAAACGG
Molecule: ribosomal RNA, 250 nt
Filed under: uncultured prokaryote
Description: partial 16S rRNA
Rfam family: Bacterial small subunit ribosomal RNA
Source: RNAcentral